RNAcentral lists this long non-coding RNA (1112 nucleotides) under Bos indicus x Bos taurus (hybrid cattle). Its description in RNAcentral is "lncRNA (ENSBIXG00005015800.1)". The record is from RNAcentral. Lineage: Eukaryota; Metazoa; Chordata; Mammalia; Artiodactyla; Bovidae.
GUUGUGAAGGGUUUGCCCGGAUCUUCGGAGAACAGUGGAAUCUUCGUUUGACCUCUGACUUGGUUGGAAGUUAAUACCGAAAGGGACAAAAUCCCAGCACACUGAAGGUCCAUGUGGUUCUGACAGGCAGAAUGACCCUUUGAAGGAACCUGGCCUGUGCAGCCUCACCCACCCUGGACCUCAGAAACCAGCACUCCGUCCUGGAAGCUGCUCCAGGCUCCAUCUAGUUCCACCUCCACCCCCUCGAGUUUCCCCUUGCCUGCUCAUAUACCUUCCUCUCUGCCCUCCGCUUAGCCCAACAUCCCAGGUCCUGAUUCUCUUCCUAAUCAUGAAGAAGCCAACCUAGCUUUGUAUCUGCCAUCCCAGCUAAUCACUGAUAGACAAGAGGGAAAGAGGGCCAGGAAAAAAGACCAUUACCUGUUUUUAUAUCUUAACAAUAGGGAAAUGGAUACUUUGAAGUGGGGUACUACUGUAACAUUCCUUUACUAAUACAGUCAUUCCCCUACACGUGAACGAGUUCUGUUCUGAGAGCAAAUUCAUAAGCCAAAUUUGUUUAUAAGUCCAACAAAGUUAACCUAGGUACCCAACCAACACAAUUGGCUUAUAGCACUGUACUGUAGUAGGUUUAUAGGAGAGAAGGUGGGAGAUGGUAGAGCUGAAGGAUCAUCAACAAUAGGAGAUGGAAGGGAAGCUGCAAUUUCAUUCAUUCCUGACCUUGAGGGAAGGCGCACAUUUGAAUCUUUGAGAUUUCACAACUUAAAGGUUUGUUUGAAAGGGACUUAUUGAACCGAAGUUUACAGUUUAACUUCGGUUAAACUGAAGUUUACCUUGAAGUGGCAUGCUGCCAUGAUGUAAGCCUAAAACAUGUGGCUCUGUUUUGGUUGUUUGUCUUUUGAAGUAUCACAGGGCCCUUUGUCAACAUGAGUCUUUCCAGUCUCCAGUAUCAGCUUUCUUGCUGCCCACUGCCCAACUAUUAAUAAUUAGUGUUGAGUGACAAGUGGCAAGAAAAAUGCUUUUAGAAGCUAUAGCAACGAAGACUAUGUUAUGCAGUAGAAAAAAAUACUUGGAUGCAAAGAAAUAAAUCACUCAUGAACAUUUUUGUUUAGGAAAGA